AUUAGAGUUUGAUCCUGGCUCAGGACGAACGCUGGCGGUAUGCUUAACACAUGCAAGUCGAACGAGAAGGUUUUGAUGGAUCCUUCGGGUGACAUUAGAACUGGAAAGUGGCGAACGGGUUGAGUAACGCGUGGGUAACCUGCCCUAUGGAAAGGAAUAGCCUCGGGAAACUGGGAGUAAAGCCUUAUAUUAUGGUUUUGUCGCAUGGCAAGAUCAUGAAAACUCCGGUGCCAUAGGAUGGACCCGCGUCCCAUUAGCUAGUUGGUGAGAUAACAGCCCACCAAGGCGACGAUGGGUAACCGGUCUGAGAGGGCGAACGGUCACACUGGAACUGAGACACGGUCCAGACUCCUACGGGAGGCAGCAGUGGGGAAUAUUGCGCAAUGGGGGCAACCCUGACGCAGCAAUACCGCGUGAGUGAAGAAGGUUUUCGGAUCGUAAAGCUCUGUUAUUGGGGAAGAAGAAUGACGGUACCCAAUGAGGAAGUCCCGGCUAACUACGUGCCAGCAGCCGCGGUAAUAAU
This 523-nucleotide ribosomal RNA is filed under the name uncultured bacterium. Its description in RNAcentral is "bacterial SSU rRNA". It matches the Rfam family "Bacterial small subunit ribosomal RNA", at positions 1 to 526 of the family's 1533-position model. The record is from RNAcentral.